GGAGUGGAGGGAGAACCGCGACAGGAAAUGAGCUCGAACGCCCAAGCCACAGAGAGGGCGGCUCCCUGCCGGCGCUGCAGGUGGGGUGCAAGUUCCUGAAGCACGGAGAGCUCACUCCGGCCUCCUAUAUGUAGCGUUAGGCCCUGGAGAACUUGAACACAGCGCUUGAUCAGAAAGGCUUUGCACGAAAUGCUUCUCUGGCAUUUGUGCUGGGGCAGCUACAAACACGGACAGUCGAUGUUUGCUGUAUCAACGGUGCCAGCAGCCCCCCACCGCGCUUGCCAAGGCUGAGGUGAGCGAGAAACACCCUCAAGACCCUGGAAGGGGCCCCGGCUCUAACAGCUGCACUAGCUCCAGGCACGUCACUUCCUUGCUGGGUCUCCGUUUCCUCAGGGAGUUGUGGUGAGGCUGAGAUACGGACACGUGCGAAGUGCCGUGUAAAUUGUGACGUGCACAGGUGCCUAACAACAGCCCAUCUGCCUUCUUCCUGCCUGUCCUCUCUGGUGACUUGAGUUAUUGGGAGAGGGCUAGCCGAGGUGUUCAUUGGUGUCUGUCCAGUUCAUGAUGACCCUUGUUUCUCCCGAGGCAGCACAGUAGAGCUAUGGAGAAUACUGGCUGUGUGACCGUCGGCAAGUUACUCAACUUCUCUGUGCCUCAGUCCGACAUCGGCAAAAUGGGAGUGAUGGUAUUAAUACCUGCCUCGUGGGUUUGUCAUGAGGAUUAAACAACGCAUGUGAAGUUCUCAGUCCUGUAAAUGCCUGGCACCUGGUAAGUGCUCAACGGGAAUCAGCUCUGAUUAUGCCCCACACCUGGGUGAAAUGAAGCAGAACUCAGCAAAGGGGCACUGCUGGUUCUUGUUGGCGUCCCAGUGCCCAGACAUCCACCUUUAGGUUCCUUCUGCUUCCUCAUCCUCUUUCCAAUGAACUGCCUAUUUUUUUUAAUUCUUUUUUUAUUCCUUUUUUUAAAUUCUUUUUUUUUUAAUUGAAGUGUAGUCAAUUUACAAUGUUAGUUUCAGGUGUGCAGCAAAGUGAUUCAGUUAUACAUAGUCUCUAACACCGUAUACAAAAAUAGACUCAAAAUGGAUUAAAGACCUAAAUAUAAGACCGGAGACUAUAAAACUCCUAGAGGAAAAUAUAGGCAGAACACUCUUUGACAUAAACUGCAGCAUUUUUUUUUUCGAACCAGCUCCUAGAGUAAUGGAAAUAAAAGCAAAAAUAAACAAAUGGGACCCAAUUCAACUUAAAAGCUUUUGCACAGCUAAGGAUACCAUCAGUAAAACAAAAAGACAACCUACAGAAUGGGAGAAAAUAUUUGCAAAUGAUGUGACCAACAAGGGACUAAUUUCCAAAAUAUACAAACAACUUUAUACAGCUUAAUAUCAAAAAGAAAAACAAGCAACCCAGUCAAAAAAAUGGGCAGAAGACCUAAAUAGAUAUUUCUCCAAAGAAGACAUCCAGAUGCCAGCAGGCACAAAAGAUGCUAAAUUUCAUUAAUUAUUAAAGAAAUUCAAAUCAAAACUACAAUGAGGUAUAUCACCUCACAUCAGUCAGAAUGGCCAUCAUUUAAAAGUCUACAAAUAAUAAGUGCUGGAGAGGGUGUAGAGAAAAGGGAACCCUCCUGCGCUGUUGGUGGGAAUGUAGUUUGGUGCAGCCAUUAUGAAAAACAGUAUGGAGAUUCCUUUAAAAAUUAAAAAUGGACUUAUCCUAUGAUCCAGCAGUCCCACUCCCGGUCAUAUAUCUGGAGGGAACUCUAAUUUGAAAAGAUAUAUGCACCCUAGUGUUCAGAGCAGCACUAUUUACAACAGCCAAGACAUGAAAACAACCUACAUGUCUAUCGACAAAUGAAUGGAUGAAGAAACUGUGAUAUAUUUAUACAAUGGAAUACUGCUCAGCUAUACAAAAGAAUGAAAUAAUGCCAUUUGCAGCAACAUGGAUGGACCUACAGAUUAUCAUAUUAAGUGAGGUCACCAGCACCCAGGUGCCCCUGGGACCAACGCCACUGCUUCCCGGUUUGAGCACUUCCAGAGGCAGCAUGGAUGACUCAUAAGCCUCCUUUCCUUGUUCGCAGCCCAGGCCUCCUGUCAGCUCCAUCCAGGCUGUGCCUCGCCCUCGGCCCGGUGAGCCUCUUCCACUGGACUCUGCUGGUCAAAGCCCAGAGCUGCCUCCUGGGGUCUGCAGCACUGGCAGCCUCUAGACCCACACCCUCCCACCACCCUGCCCCAAUCUCUGGUCAUUUCCUCCUUCAGGAUGCAGACGGGGCUUGCAGGCCAUUGUGUAAACACCCAGGCAAGCCUCCUGGGUCCUGUCACCAAGACAGAGAAAAAAGGGAGGUGUUCAGAAUUUUCAAAUGUGAGCAGAUCCUGAAGAGAAUUCUUUAUUAAGCAUCUUUCAGCAAAGAAGACAUUCCAGUGGCCACAUUUGAGUAUUUCUUUUCAACAAAACAGAAUGACUCAAUGAAGUCUUUCUUGCUGAGCAGAAUUAUAUCCUCAGCAUCUUUCUCAACCCAGUGCGUCAGAAGGCCAGAGCUAACCAAAGGAUUUUAUUUGCCAGUCCUGUAAAGCCGAGGCCCCUCCACCGCGAACCUCAGCUGGGUUGGUCCCAGCUCUCACCGGGACGACAGCCACACCCCUUAACCCUCCCGCUGCCUCCAGCCUUCCUCACUCAGUUGCGAGUCUGAGCCUCCUGUUCCUUCUCGCCGGUGAUGAAACCUUGUCUACAGCAGGGGGCGGCAGACUUUCUCUGUAGAGGGUCGAAUACAAACAUACUCAGGCCUUAAGGUAAACUCGGCCAUCCUAGUGUGAAAGCAGCCCAGGUUGGGCUGUGUUCCAAUAAAACAUCAUUUACAAAAACAGGUGCCAGGCUGGAUUUGGCCUGUGGGCUGCAGUUUGCCAAGCCUGAUCUACAGAAGAAGACGCAGACAGUCAGCAUGCACUGAGACCUCUCCAGGGCCUCACUUACUGCCCAGACGCUGAUGCCUCCAGAUGCACGCCUCCAGCUGGACCUCCCUGCAGAGCACGAGGCUCUCACCUCCAGCAGGUGUCCACACCCCAAAGCCGCAUUAGUUGCUCAUGCUCAGGUCCUCCACCCCUGAGCUCAUGAUUUCUGUUCCCACAUCCCUCUCUGUAAGAUGGCAUCUCAGGGGGACGUUUUUGGAGCAUCCUCCCAGUUCAUAACAAGCCCCUUAGCCACAGACAUCUGUCCACUUCCAGCUGUUUUACCCCCUUCACCCAACUGGACCCCCACUGGGCCACUGCCUGCGACUCAGCAGGACACCUCUGCUCAGGUGAGCAUGAGCCCGGCUGGCCAUUCAGUCUCUUCCUGGGCAAUUUGGAACUGGGUGGUGCUGGUGUUUCUUCAGGCGAAUUGGCUUAUGGUGCAUGGAUGGGAGCUAUGGGAGAGGCAUUUUCCACCAACCGGGGCCUGGGGAAGCAGCAAGAGUUGGUCUGGGAGAGAGAGAGAGCGGAGGGCUGCACAGGCAGGAUCAGAUGUGAGAAGGCUGGGCCAGGUCGUGCGCCCGUUGUACAGAUGUUGAUGAAGACUCCAAGGGAAGAGUGAUGUGGUCCCAGGGUCAGUAAUUCAGGUUUGCAGCCCUGACCUUCCUUCCCUCAACUCGGUCCCAUGCCCCUGAGUGCCUGCUCUCUGCCAGCAGGAGGGUCCCCCAGAUCACUGAAGCCCCAUCGUGCUUUGGGCGGUGGUGGCCCCCGCAUCUCUGCAGCUGUGCCCCUCCUGCUCCUGGGAGCUGCCCCUCCUUCCCCUCCCACAAAGGGGACAAGGGGGUUGAAAGCAGGGAUGGCGGGCUGACCUGCUGGGUCCAGGGUGGUUGGGGGCCAGGAAGUUCUUUAUCUUGGUUUCCACAGAACAAAGCUGGACUGCUCCUCUGGGCCCUGGGGUGGGGCGGGGAGGGGGCUCUGGCUUUGGGACUAAACAGUUUACCAUGUACUCUGGUCUGUUCUGGGAGCCCAGCAGGCCCAAGAUGCUGCAACCUGGACUGGCCCCACGGGCAGGGAGGGACCAGGGAUGGCCGCAGAGUCUCAGCAGAGGAGCAGGGUGUUUGCCAGAAAUCUCCAACAGGCCAUCUGCUCCCAGGGAGCAGAGCACAGUCUUGAGAGAGGAGGCCGGGUUCCCGAGCCUCAGGACUCUCCUAAGGGAGUUCAUUUUUUAUUUUUUAAAGGUUUGUUUUAUCAAUCUUUGAUCCAUUUGGGUUUUAAUAUGUUUGAAUGCAGCCCCUCUGGGCCUCGGCCAGCUGCUCCCCUGCCCCAUGCUGGCCCCCAGACUCCUUCUACAUCUUCUCAGACGUAGAAGGGAGAAGGAACAAACAGUGGAUGCCAGAUGAAGGAAGAAGCAGGUUGGUCCUCCAAUUCCUUUAACAGCAAUGCCAUCCCUCUCAGGUAGCUCUGGGCUGGGGCGGCGAGCCCCCACCUGCUGUCCCCUCACUCAGACACUCCAGGGCAGCCGAAGUGCCUCAGAGGAGGAGUGGAAUUACCUCCACAGCUGGGCCAAGGCACUGGCUGUGGUUCACAGCGGGGCUGUGAAAGCCCCAGCAGGUGGAGGAGAAAGACCCCGCAGGUGGAGGAGACCCACACGUUCUGUCUCUUUCACCCUGUAGAUGCUGACUAGCAAUUCAGCUCGGGAAGGUUUUGCUUCUGGAACAAAAAAACCCUUGGGUGGAGCCCUUGUUGAGGAAUCUGUCCAGAUCACAGACAUUGGAGUCACGGCUGGUACCUGGAGACAUCUGUGACCGGAGGAUCCUGUUUAAGAUGCUCUCUCCUGUUCUCACAACCAGGUGCUUGUUUUUAAAAGGAUCGUCUUCCAGGGUUCUCACACGGGUCUGCUCCCUGCCUCCUGCCUCCCCCUCACUCACUCCUCCUGACUCUGAUCUGAUGGCUCCCUCCUCUGACUCCCAGUGGCUGCCCUCGGUCCUCACCCCGCCUGAGGGCCGACACCUCCACCUUUCUCUUCUCCUGCUCCCAGGACUCAGUUCCCUGCCCCUUUCCUUUUACUCCCCGACUGGUCCCCACCUCCUUCCCCAGGCGCUCUUCCUCUGUGCCCCUCCCUAAGUACGGGAACUUCAGGUCUUCAUCCUCGUUUCUGUCCUCUUCCCACUAGACUCUUACACAUGGUCUCAUUCACUCCCAAGGAGAACAGAUAAAUUCAGUGAUGCCAAUAUCUGUCAUGUCCAGGCCUCCUCUCUCUAAAGCUGUUUCAUGUAACCCAUUGUUACGUGCAAUAUCUACUGGAUAUCCCAGAGGCAUCUCAAAUUCAUCAUGUUCCAUGUUGAACUGGUCCGCUCCCCCCUGAAUUCUUGUUCCUCCAUCCGUCAGUGUACUUCACCUCAGAGUGAUGUCACCGUCUCCAGCUCAGCCACCCAGAAGCCCGGGUGUUAGAGGAACUCACGCUUUAGAGUUGAACCACUGGGCUCAGAUUCCAGUGUGACCACAUCCUGUGUAAUCCUGGCAAGUUCCUGAACCCCUCUGUGCCUCAGUUCCCCAGAAUAAAAACAGUGCCCUUCUUAUAGCAUUACAGUGAAGAACAAAGGCGAUAUUCCAUGUGACGUGGCCACAAAGAUAGCACGCAGUAAGCACGAGCUGUUAUCACCUCCCUCCCAACAACAACACGCACACACUCGCCCACUGACUCAGUCCUGUGGGCUCUACCUCAUCUCCACAUUCAGACCCCUGUCCUCCACCCUCCUGGCCACAGCCUUGACUCAGACUUUGCUUUAUUGAGAUGUAAUUCACAUACCAUAUAACUCAUUCAUUUAAAAUAUAUACUCAGUGGUUUUCAGCCUAUUCACAGAGUUGUGCAACCAUCUCUACAACCAAGUUUAGACCAUUUUUCAUCAUCCCAAAAAGAAACAACCCUGGGCCCAUCAGCAGCACUCCUCACCCCUGUUCCCACCCUCAGCCCUGGCCAAUCCCUAACCUACUUCCUGUCUCUAUAGAUUUGCCUGUUCUGGACGGUUUCUAUGAGUGGAAUCAUACAAUAUGUGGCCUUUUGUGACUGGCUUCUUUCAAUUAAUGUGCUGUUUUCAAGGUACAUCCAUGUUGUCUCAGGUUAUUACUCCUUUUUAUGGCCAAAUAAUAUUCCACGGAGUGGGUCUAGCACAUUUUGUUUAUCCAUUUAUCACAUGAUGAUACAACAAAGAAUUGUUUCCACCUUUUGGCUAUGAUGAAUAAUGCUGCUAUGAGAUUCAUGUACAAGUUUUUGUGUGAACACAUGUUUUCAUUUCUCUAUGUGCCUAGGAGUCACACUCUAUGUUUAAUCUUUUGAGAAAUUGCCAAACUAUUUUCCAAAGUGGCUACACCAUUCUUUAAUCCUCUCAGUGUGUAUGAGGCUUCUCCUUUCUCCAUAUUAUUGCCGACACUUGUUAUUAGCUCUUUCUCUCUCUCUAUUUUUAUUUUUUUCACUAUAUCCAUCUUAGUGGGUGUGAAGUGGUGUCUCAUGGUGGCUUUGAUUUGCAUUUCCCUGAUGGCUAAUGAUGCUGAGUAUCUUUUCAUGUGCUUAUUAACCAUUUGUAUGUUUCCUUUGGGGAAAUACCUAUUCAGAUCUUUUGCCCAUUUUUUAAUUGGAUUAUUUGUCUUUGUAUUAUUGAAUUGUAAGAGUUCUUUAUGUGUUCUAAAAAUGAAUCAGUUAAAAGAUAUUUGAUUUGCAAAACUCUCUUCUGUCCCAUGGGUUGUUUUUGCACUUUCUUGAUAGUGUCCUUUAAUGUCCUUUAAAAGGGACAAAAGUUUUUAAUUUUGUUGAAUUAUGCCGAUUUAGCUAUUUUUCCUUUGGCUGCUUGUGCUUUUGGUGUCAUAUCUAAGAAACCGUUGCCUAAUCCAGUGUCACAAAAUUUAUGCCUAUAUUUUGUUCUAAAAGAUUUAUAGUUUUAGCUGUUACAUUUGGUUUUUUUUAAAAAUCCAUUUUGAGCUAAUUUUUGUACAUGGUGUGAAGUAGAGGUUCAACUUCAUUCUUCUGCACCUGGAAAUCUAGUUGUCUCAGCACCACUUAUUGUAAAGACUGUCCCUUCUCUUUUGAAUUGUCUCAGCACUCUUGUCAAAAAUCAUUGACUGUAAAUGUGAGGCUGUAUUUCUGGACUUAAUUCCGUUCCGUCAAUCUACAUUUCUAUCCUCAUGCUAUCUUGUUCUGUCACACAGUCUUGAUUACUGCAAAGAGUGAGGUUUGAAAUCAAAAAGUGAGAUUCCUUUUGAGAUUUCUGUUCCUUUUCAAGAUUGUUUUGGCUAUUCUGGGUCCCUUAAAUUAAAAAAAAAAAAUCUGAAAAAAAAAUCUGGGUCAGUCUCUUGCUUGAAGAUCUUUUCUAAUUCCCUUUGGACUGUGCAUCAAUUGUCACACUGGUUCUGGUUUCCUGAGACUCCCUCUGAGGAGUAGGCUGUGUGGGAGAGCCAACCGGGGCAGCCAGCCUGGGCUGGACAGCAGUUGUGCUGUUCCACUGAUGUCUCCAUCACUCCUGCUGAAAGGGUGGCUGAGUCACGCAUAUUUGAAUCACAAGCUGGGAAAGGUCAGGCAUUGACAGCCUGGUCUUGGUGGUCCAUGGGCCCGUAACGCACUUCUGGAUUACUGUGGGAACUUACUAAGAUGAGGAUGCCUGGGUCUCACCAUUCAGACGUGCACCUUGAGCAUCUGUCAUGUGCUGGCCAGACAGACAAGUCCUUGCUCUAGUGGACUUUUCACUCUAGGGCGCAAGGAAAGGCCAAUAAUGAACAGGAUAAUAUCAGAUCCCAUCAAAAUAACGGUAAUGGUGUGGAGAGUACUGGAAAGGCUACUUUAGGUCAGGCGCUGAGAGAACAUCUUUAGGAGAUAACUUUUCAGUGAAGAUCUGAAUGACCAGAGGGAUUCUCCCAUGGGAAGGUCACCUAGAGUGGCUGUAAGGCCCCCCUCCCCAGCCAGCCUCAGGCAUGGCCUGCACAUAAGGGUGUGUUAAGCUGACGUGAGCCACAUCCUCUUCCAGGAAUGACCACUUUCAUUUCAGUUGUCUUCUUGUUAUGGUCUCCUACUUGUAGGUGUUUCCGUGAUGUGACCUUGUUUUAUUAUUACUCACCAAGGGGUGGGGGAGCCGUUCACUCUCCCACUAGAACACACAGUCCCUGAGG
Molecule: long non-coding RNA, 8089 nt
Organism: Camelus dromedarius (Arabian camel)
Lineage: Eukaryota; Metazoa; Chordata; Mammalia; Artiodactyla; Camelidae
Exons: 4
Source: RefSeq, a predicted model, not a curated record